Salvia splendens (bonfire salvia) is the source of this 257-nucleotide long non-coding RNA. RefSeq lists it as uncharacterized. The record is from RefSeq and is a predicted model, not a curated record. The transcript has 3 exons. NCBI's taxonomy places the organism in Eukaryota, Viridiplantae, Streptophyta, Magnoliopsida, Lamiales, Lamiaceae.
CCGUCUGCCACCUCCACCGGUGCUAAAGUCGAAGCCAAACCGCCAAGAACUCUCCUUUUGUAUCCAUCAAAUCGCCCAGAUUUAAAAUGCCUAAACGAGGUCGUCCGCGCUCCCAACCUUUACAAGCUGCAGAGAAGCAACUUAGAUUAUAAGUAGACGAUGUUGUGGACGACGUUAUUACCGUUGCGCUGGCGAAAAAGUUUAGGGAUAGGUUGGCCGUGGGAGGCCCUAGUACGUCUGGAGAUGAUGGUGAGCAG